AGCACAGACAGAACCAUUCCGGGGCCUCCUGCUCAGGUUCUGGAACAAUGAAAGAUUAUUUAAAAUUUAUAAGCCAAACAAUUUGGGCAAUAUUAGUAAGUGAGCAUGGCAGAAAAGGGCUCAUAAGCCAAGGCAACUGUUCCCGGAAACUAAUAAGAAAGCCAAGGCAGGAAUGGAACCGCGGGCGUGGGAGGCAACUAGAAAAUCCACCAACGAGGAAAUGUGAAGGACG
Molecule: long non-coding RNA, 232 nt
Filed under: Homo sapiens (human)
Lineage: Eukaryota; Metazoa; Chordata; Mammalia; Primates; Hominidae
Description: HSALNT0169431
Source: RNAcentral